This is a long non-coding RNA of Lytechinus variegatus (green sea urchin), 244 nucleotides long. RefSeq lists it as uncharacterized. Lineage: Eukaryota; Metazoa; Echinodermata; Echinoidea; Temnopleuroida; Toxopneustidae. The record is from RefSeq and is a predicted model, not a curated record. The transcript has 2 exons.
GGGCAUGGCCGUUCACCUACAGUUUAAGGGGCAAAGCCCAGUAGGUACAUUAUUCACAGGCCACCAUCUCCCAGCCAGAACCUACUUAAACUAUGUUUUAUGAAAACUAUUAUGAAACAAUGUAAAGAAAAUGAUUGGGCGUGGCCGUUCACCUACAGUUUAAGGGGCAAAGCCCAGUAGGCACAUUAUUCACAGGCCACCAUCUCCCAGACAGAAUCUACUUAAACUAUGUAUUAUGAAAGCU